Molecule: long non-coding RNA, 552 nt
Organism: Gossypium arboreum
Lineage: Eukaryota; Viridiplantae; Streptophyta; Magnoliopsida; Malvales; Malvaceae
Exons: 2
Source: RefSeq, a predicted model, not a curated record
CCUACCAUUUAAAAAAAAUUAAAACUUUUCCCAAAACUCUCUCAACCCCCCUUAGCGCCGGCCUAGGGCUCCGUCGUCGGCACACCGUGCCUCCGUCGUGGCCCUACAGUGGACGAUGGCCGGAGUCGCACAAAAUCGGGUUUUUAACCCCUUUUUAAAGCAGAUUCGAAGGUGAAGCCUUCCUAGACUAAAAAAAUCAAAAAGAAAAGGACCCUCCACCCUCUGGUGGUGUUAGAGAAGCGUGGAGGAGCGGCGCGUUAGAUGGCGAGGGAUAGGCCUAGCAUGCGGCAGCUGAAGGCUUAGGGUUAAGGGUUGAUUUUGCUGAAAUGUUUUAGGAUAGUUGGGCUAGGGUUAAUUUUGGGUUAUUGAGUUUUGGUUUGGGUAGUGGGCUGAUGUGGGUUUUAAUUUUGUAAUUUGGACUAUUAAAACUUUGGGACCUUUUAUUUAUUUAUGUUUAUUAUUUGGUUUUUAUUUUAUAAACUGGGUCAGGCUAAAAUUGGCCUAUUACACUAUUGAUGUAAAAAACACUUUCAAUUAAAUUAUAAUUUUAAA